GCCUAGCUAGCUUACUUGGUAGAGCGUCUGCCUUGUAAGCGCUAGGCCGCGGGUUCGAUCCCCGCCCGGGGCG
RNAcentral lists this transfer RNA (73 nucleotides) under Diaphorina citri (Asian citrus psyllid). It matches the Rfam family "tRNA". From Rfam's summary of the family: Transfer RNA (tRNA) molecules are approximately 80 nucleotides in length. Their secondary structure includes four short double-helical elements and three loops (D, anti-codon, and T loops). The record is from Rfam by way of RNAcentral. Lineage: Eukaryota; Metazoa; Arthropoda; Insecta; Hemiptera; Psyllidae.